RNAcentral lists this ribosomal RNA (164 nucleotides) under Gliricidia brenningii. RNAcentral's name for it is "5.8S ribosomal RNA". It matches the Rfam family "5.8S ribosomal RNA". From Rfam's summary of the family: 5.8S ribosomal RNA (5.8S rRNA) is a component of the large subunit of the eukaryotic ribosome. RNAcentral also lists the same sequence under 4 other names. The record is from RNAcentral. Lineage: Eukaryota; Viridiplantae; Streptophyta; Magnoliopsida; Fabales; Fabaceae.
UACAAUGACUCUCGGCAACGGAUAUCUCGGCUCUUGCAUCGAUGAAGAACGUAGCGAAAUGCGAUACUUGGUGUGAAUUGCAGAAUCCCGUGAACCAUCGAGUCUUUGAACGCAAGUUGCGCCCGAAGCCAUUAGGUCGAGGGCACGUCUGCCUGGGUGUCACA